AUUGACUUCGCGAAGUUCAGAAGAGUCCUGCAACUGAUGAGUCGGGGAGAACACUUGAAGCCAGAGGGAAUCCAGCAGAUUCAAGCCAUUGCGUCCAAAAUGAACCGGGGUCGGGAAAGAUAAAGUCCGGCUCCAUCGGAAACGAUGUGGGAUGAACCGAGCGAAAUUCCUUGUCGGGCAAGUUCCGACCUGCACGAAUGGCGUAACGAUAGAGCGACUGUCGUGGCGAGUGACUCAGCGAACUUGUAGUACCGGUGAAGAUGCCGGUUUCCCGCACCUAGACGGAAAGACCCCGUGCACCUUUACUACAACCUAGCCAUGAAUCGCGGAACUGUAUGCGCAGCAUAGGUGGGAGGCUUUGAACCAGGGCUUUUGGGCUCUGGGGAGCCAACGGUGAGAUACCACCCUUAUGGUUCUGUAGUUCUAACUUCGACCCGUAAUCCGGGCCAAGGACACGGCUAGGCGGGUAGUUUGACUGGGGCGGUCGCCUCCUAAAAUGUAACGGAGGCGCCCCAAGGUUGGCUCAGGCUGUUUGGAAAUCAGCCGUCGAGUGCAAGGGCAUAAGCCAGCCUGACUGCGAGACCUACUAGUCGAGCAGAGACGAAAGUCGGGCCUAGUGAUCCGGUGGUUCUGUAUGGAAGGGCCAUCGCUCAACGGAUAAAAGGUACGCCGGGGAUAACAGGCUGAUCGGAGCCGAGAGUUCACAUCGACGCUCCGGUUUGGCACCUCGAUGUCGGCUCAUCGCAUCCUGGGGCUGGAGCAGGUCCCAAGGGUUGGGCUGUUCGCCCAUUAAAGCGGUACGUGAGCUGGGUUCAGAACGUCGCGAGACAGUUCGGUCCCUAUCUGGUGUGGGCGUAGGAGAUUUGAGGGGGGUUGUCCUUAGUACGAGAGGACCGGGAUGAACAGACCUCUUGUGUACCAGCUGUCUAAACCAUGGCACGGCUGGGUAGCGAAGUCUGGAAGUGAUAAACGCUGAAAGCAUCUAAGCGUGAAGCACGCCCCAAGAUCAUAUCUCCCAAGGAUGAAAGGCGGUUUCGCUAACCGUCGAGAUUCCUCUGAAGGGCCGCGGAAGACUACCGCGUAUAUAGGUCGGACGUGGACGCAGGGUAACCUGUGGAGCUUACCGAUCCUAAUGCCCAUUCGGCUUGACCAU
Molecule: ribosomal RNA, 1153 nt
Filed under: soil metagenome
Description: bacterial LSU rRNA
Rfam family: Bacterial large subunit ribosomal RNA
Source: RNAcentral